UGCGUAGGCGGAACUUUAAGUCAGUGGUGAAAUCCUGCGGCUCAACCGUAGAACUGCCAUUGAUACUGAUGUUCUUGAAUGCAGUUGAGGUAGGCGGAAUGUGUAAUGUAGCAGUGAAAUGCUUAGAUAUUACACAGAACACCGAUUGCGAAGGCAGCUUGCUAAACUGUGAUUGACGCUGAUGCACGAAAGCGUGGGGAGCGAACAGGAUUAGAUACCCUGGUAGUCC
RNAcentral lists this ribosomal RNA (229 nucleotides) under uncultured bacterium. RNAcentral's name for it is "partial 16S ribosomal RNA". It matches the Rfam family "Bacterial small subunit ribosomal RNA", at positions 568 to 796 of the family's 1533-position model. The record is from RNAcentral.